Molecule: long non-coding RNA, 1578 nt
Organism: Triticum aestivum (bread wheat)
Lineage: Eukaryota; Viridiplantae; Streptophyta; Magnoliopsida; Poales; Poaceae
Exons: 4
Source: RefSeq, a predicted model, not a curated record
UAAAAAAUAAGAACGGAAAUAUAUAAAAUAGGCAGCCCGUCAUGGGCCGGCCCAAACUGGCGCGCUACAUCUUCUCCCAGCCCGCAGCAUGCAGUAUAGAAGGUCGCUACUGCAUGGACGGCCCAGGCAGAGGAUUACUCUGUCUGAAACGUUUCUUUAUCACUUAUAGAUAGCAUUGAUGGGUAAUAUUUUGCAACUUUGAGGUCAAUUUUCUUGACGUACUGCCGGAAGCAAUAGCCCCUUUAUUAUUAGUUAGUUAUAGAUUAUAGAUAGAUUUGGUUUAUCAUAGGAAGUUCCUCUGUUUAUGUGUACUGCUCUCAAUAAAACAUAGGCUAGAAAAGUUCCCUUUGGUAUGGAUUCUCAUGUUAUUAAAACAUUUGUGGUGCAGCCUGUUAGAAAACUCCGUUUUCCAGUCAACAGUUCACUUGCUUUCUAAUGCAUGUAAUAUUGCUGACUUUUCUUCAAGUGCUAUCUGGUUUGUGUGCAGUUUAUGGUUCAGUGUAUCAAUGCAAGUAGUUUAUGGCUCAGUAUAUCACUGCAAGUUCCUAACACCGUCAAAUUUUAGUGUUUUUGUAUUUUUUGUCGAUGCAAACAUGUUCUUCGACUAUAAGACAAUAGAGGUUUGUUUUCUUACCAGGUGUAAUAUUUUUUUGAUGCAUUGCAGAGUUUGCUAUCAAACUCUCAAGCAGCAAGAAGAUAGCCAACCUAAAUGAAUCAAAACAUGAACAAGUGUCGAGAAGUUAAGGAUGCCGAAGUGCAGCUGUUGGCUUCCUGCUAUGAUUCACUUAUCGGGAAGUGAAGUUUCUGUUUCUCCCGUCGUGCGAGAGCAUGUGCGUCUGCUGCCUGGCGCUACACCCGAGUUCGCGCCGCACCAUCAAGCAUUUAAAUGCGGCCUCCUCUCUUUCUACUUCUCAGGCCUGCGUGGGGCGCAAGGAGCAGUAGGGGCAGACGCGGGCGCCUCAAACGGCGGCUGCUCUUCUCUGGCUUGGACCAGAACCCAGCUGGGGCCUCUAGCUAUAGUCCUGGAAAAGAUGGUGUUUAGAGCUAUAUCUUGGAAAAUACUUCUUGGCAUUCCAUUAAAUUUCUGAGUUCUUGCUAGGAGGUUAGAAAUGGAGGAGCUGGACAUGGAAGGCGAGAAGGCGGUCAGACCGAGUUCGCCUACCCUACUGCUACAAGGACCACGAGGUCGCAUCCUUGUGCGCGCACGUAGAAGAGGAGCACCCACUGGUGUGGAGAUAUAGUUUGCACAAUGUUCUGGUCCGGCAAAGGAUUUUAGAUGUGCAAAAGAGUAGUAAUGUUUUUGGCAUGGUCUUGGGGUAGAAAAUAUUGAUCGUGAAACCUGGAGAUAGAAAAAGGAGCUUUUCACAUUUGUUGCUCUUGAAUCCUGACUAGCAAUUAUAGCACCCUCAGGCCUCACUAGCAAUUAUGUCACCGUAUUUGGUUGUAGGUUACUUGCCUUCUUCUUUCAACCCAUCUCUCUAAGAAUUAUAGUGCAGGUUUUGUGGGGCAGGUUAAAGAACCCAAUACAAUGCUCUUUGAGUCGAGUUUUUGUAUAUACCGAGGCAUGAUUCUUGUGUG